RNAcentral lists this ribosomal RNA (445 nucleotides) under uncultured bacterium. Its description in RNAcentral is "partial 16S ribosomal RNA". It matches the Rfam family "Bacterial small subunit ribosomal RNA", at positions 354 to 796 of the family's 1533-position model. The record is from RNAcentral.
GUGAGGAAUAUUGCGCAAUGGAGGCAACUCUGACGCAGCCAUGCCGCGUGCAGGAAGAAGGCGCUACGCGUUGUAAACUGCUUUUAACCGGGAAGAAACCCCAGGACGUGUCCUGGGUUGACGGUACCGGAGGAAUAAGCACCGGCUAACUUCGUGCCAGCAGCCGCGGUAAUACGAAGGGUGCAAGCGUUAUCCGGAUUCAUUGGGUUUAAAGGGUGCGUAGGCGGAGCGUUAAGUCAGUGGUGAAAUCCUGCAGCUUAACUGUAGACUUGCCAUUGAUACUGGCGCGCUUGAGUGCGCUUGAAGUGGGCGGAAUGUGCCGUGUAGCGGUGAAAUGCUUAGAUAUGGCACAGAACACCAAUUGCGAAGGCAGCUCACUAAGGCGAUACUGACGCUGAGGCACGAAAGCGUGGGGAUCGAACAGGAUUAGAAACCCGUGUAGUCC